GGGGGUAAAAAAAACCCAAAGAAAAAAAGAAAAAAAGGAAAAACUAUCAACUGGGCAGCUGCACUUGUUAAACAGGGAUAGGAAAGGAGUUCUUAAAGGUGGACUUUUAGGUAACGUUUUCAUUAGGUUUUGGCUUGUUCUAGAAUCUAAUAGAUUUGACCACCAUGGACUGAAAAAGGGACCUCCUCCCUCCCCCACAUCCUUAAAAAUCAACAGUUUGAUAAGAAAGUGGGAAGGAAGAAACACACCACUGUGUCUAUUGCCCCAAGGCCACAAUAAUUACCUUUCUAAAGCUGGCAUCUAUUAAAACAGCCUCCUUAAGGGAUUGCUAUUUAACCCCUUCUAGUCCAACACAGUAAUCAGGAGGGCUGCUGUGGCCCCAGGGCUGCGGGUGACCAAGGGAGGUUUGAACAUUUCAGCUGCUAACUCCUUUAAUGUGGCUCUUUUUAUAGCUGGCACAUUUGCAGUCAGACCAAACAGCCCUGGUGGAAACGUGGCUUAAAUUACCCUUCACAAUGCACUGGAUCUAAUGAGCCUACUCCCCUAGCUCAUGUAAUAAGUAGGUGUCAGAGCUCUACACUGCAGUCUUUGUGAUCUUUACAGGACAGUUAUCUCAGAACCCUGUAGUGUAGACAGAGACUGGCCCUUUGGUACAGACAGACUAGCCCCGGUUUAACAGAUGAAGGCUUCAGAAGAAGACAUUUUUAAACUAUUCCUCUCCAAAAUACCCAAAAUAUCACAGAAAAAAGGGUGGGGGCAGGGGGGCUCCUCUUAGAAGCAAAUAAGUACCAGACAGAAACAAGUAGGGUAGUGUAAAAAGUCCAGUUUUAUAAUUGUGGAGUCCAAUGGCCUUCUUAACCUCAAAGAUCUAGGACUGUUCACCCCAUUCAAACAGAGAGAAUUGGUGCUUUUCUACUCCUCCUCCCCCAUCUCUUUUGUGUCCCUUGCCUACAUAAAGUUUUUUUCAAGUGCUCUCAAUAAAUUUAAAUGCAUCUCUCUCUUUCUCUUCCUUCCUCUCUCUCAUACUUCUCUCUUUCUCCCUCUCUCUUACUCUCUCCCCUCCUCUCUCUUUUUCCUUCUCUAUCUUCCUCCCUGUCUCUCUCUUCCCUCUUCUCUCUCUUAUUACUUCUCUCUUACUCUCUCUCCUCCUCUCUCUCUCCCCUUCUCUCUGUCUCUCUUUUUCCUUCUUCUUCUUCUCUCUCUCUUCCCUCUCUCUCCCCUUCUCUCUGUCUCUCUUUUUCCUUCUUUUUCUUCUCUCUCUCUUCCUCCCUCUGUCUCUCUCUUAUUCUCUCUUUCUCCCUCUCUGUCUCUUUUACUUUCUCCCCUCCUCUCUCUCUCCCCUCUCUCUGUCUCUCUUUUUCCUUCUCUCUCUCUUCUCUCUCUUUCCCUCUUCUUUUUCAUCUGUCUCUUUCAUUCUUUGUGCCAUGACUCUCUUUUAUUCUCUGUAUCCCCCUCCUCUCUCUUCUCUCGCCCUCCUUUCCUCUCUGUCCUCUCCUUUCUUGAUUCUCUCUCCUCUCUUCUAUGUCUCUUCUCCUCUCUCUGCCUAUCUCAAUGUGUAUCUGUCUCUCUCCCAUACACAAACACACACACACACACACACACACACACACACAUUCAGAAAAGCACACAGAACUCUUCAUACAAAAAGUGGGCCCCAGACAAAGAACAAGAAAACCACCCUGACAAUCAGCUCCCUUGUUGUCGGGCUCAGCAGGGACCCUGAGGAUAGAGAGGAAGGCUGGGCCAGAGAGUCGCCUCUGACCUCUCAGGGCCUGGGGUGAGCCUUAGUGCCUCGGGGGUCACUAAGAGCUUUGUGCCUCCACUCUCUGAGCCAGGGCCAUCCUGAGGAGGCCCUGUCUCCCCAUCAACCUUUGCACAGCUGUGGGCCCCCAAUGUUCCUCAACAAACACCACAUUCAGGGUCCUUCUUUUCAUUUGCAUAAUUUGUUAAUGACUAAAUUAAAUCACUUCUAAAUAGUGAGGGGAGAUUUAACUUUUGCCUCCCUCCACAGAAACACCCCCUCCCCCAGCUAUGAAAACUUCUCUCUUACUGCCUGCCUUAAAAUACGACUUCUGCGUACAGCUGAUUCCACCAGCUGUUUCAUAUCAAGUCUGAACGGCUUCUCUAUGACACAGAAAGCUUAGACAACAGGCAAACCUUUCUGCAUUAAAGGGUAAUCUGAGAAUAAUCUGCCAUAAAACAUCCAGAAGUGCACCAGCUGUAGUUGGAUACUUCCUAUAAAUCACAACACAGACUUCAUGGAUCUUAAAAAUAAUGGCUCUUUUAAAAAAAAUUCAAAUUUCAAUUAAAGAAGGGGCCCACUCCUCGAUCUCUAAGUCAGCAGGGUAAUUUCAUGACACAUUAAUAAACAGCUACUUAGAUUGUGUUUGAGGGUGCUC
Molecule: long non-coding RNA, 2399 nt
Filed under: Monodelphis domestica (gray short-tailed opossum)
Lineage: Eukaryota; Metazoa; Chordata; Mammalia; Didelphimorphia; Didelphidae
Description: lncRNA (ENSMODG00000039735.1)
Source: RNAcentral